Molecule: long non-coding RNA, 525 nt
Filed under: Bos indicus x Bos taurus (hybrid cattle)
Lineage: Eukaryota; Metazoa; Chordata; Mammalia; Artiodactyla; Bovidae
Description: lncRNA (ENSBIXG00005007970.1)
Source: RNAcentral
GACAAGCAGAGUUGGAAACAAAGUGCUGAAUGCCCGCCCCAGCCUGCUGCUCACUAUCCUCUCCCUCUGUGCCCUGCAGACUGAGCUGCUGAGAUCUUCCCAUGGAAACAUCUGCAUUUUCCCUAAAUAUUUCUGGCCUCCUCAUCUGAGUUACAAAAUUAAAAAAAACCUUCCCCACUGAGCCCACCUGACCUCUUAUUUAUUUUUGCCAGCAGCACCCAACAGGUCAGAGUUAGCAACAUGUGGCUCAGCCCUGCCCUGACUGGGGAAAGCCUGGUUCAGGAGUUGUGGGAGGUCACCUGGUCUACACUCACAGGUGGAAGGACCUCUGUUGACCUUUCCUGUACAGAGAGGCCCACUCUAACCUUACAGAUGCCAUUUGAGGAUAUCCACCUUCUGUGGGUUGUUGUACAUAUAUGGCUGAAAAUUAUACAAAAAGGAAAAUGAGAUGUGUCAAUGGCAAAAUAUGGAUUUUCACACUUGAGUAUUGCCUAUCUUCAAAUAUGGUCUUAAACCAAAGCCCAG